This 94-nucleotide transfer RNA is filed under the name Trametopsis cervina. RNAcentral's name for it is "tRNA-Leu". It matches the Rfam family "tRNA". Rfam says of the family: Transfer RNA (tRNA) molecules are approximately 80 nucleotides in length. The record is from RNAcentral. Lineage: Eukaryota; Fungi; Basidiomycota; Agaricomycetes; Polyporales; Irpicaceae.
GGCAGUGUAGCCAAGUGGUUACGGCGUCACGUUUAGGCUACUAAGCUAAAUCCGUGAUGGGUUUCCCGCGCGAGUUCGAAUCUCGUCACUGUCA